Molecule: unclassified non-coding RNA, 247 nt
Filed under: Hevea brasiliensis (rubber tree)
Lineage: Eukaryota; Viridiplantae; Streptophyta; Magnoliopsida; Malpighiales; Euphorbiaceae
Source: RNAcentral
AUUCUUGGUAGAGAGAAGGCCAUAGUUGUAAAUUUGGAGCAGAUUCGAUGUAUUAUUACUGCUGAUGAGGUUCUGCUCCUAAAUUCCCUUGACAGCUAUGUCUUGCAGUAUGUGGUGGAGCUACAACGUCGGUUGCAAACAGCUGGAGUAGGUGAGGUUUGGCAGUCAGAAGGUGCUGAAUUGAAUAGAAGGAGAAGUAGGAAUUUCGAUAAUGUAUUUGGGAACCCAUCCCCUGAUUAUUUGCCCU